RNAcentral lists this long non-coding RNA (416 nucleotides) under Mytilus galloprovincialis (Mediterranean mussel). The record is from RNAcentral. Lineage: Eukaryota; Metazoa; Mollusca; Bivalvia; Mytilida; Mytilidae.
UAAAAUUUGGUCCAACAUAAUCUCCCUGCAAAAUGAAACAAAAUGUCGUUUUAAAAAAUAGGGGUCCAUGCACUCGUUUUCAAAUUAAAUCAGUUUGAAUGAUAAAAAAAAGUCGAAAAAUGCAUCUUUUCACGAUAUGUCAUAGUUUGACGUCGCGAAAAUAACAUUUUAUGUUAGCAACAUCAUUACCUCCCCUGUAACUGUAUCGUAUACCCUUAAUAGGAUUCAAGUUGUUUGCUCUUCUUUUUUUUCCUGGAACCAUGCACUUGUUCUUCUUUAUGUCACAAAUAACUGAGUAAUAACAUAGAAACCAAAAUCAAAUAAAUGUUAAUAAAAGUGCAUCCUUUGUAGUUUCAAGUUAUUGAUAUUUUUUAUCUGCCACUUGUCCUAGGCUUUUGUCUUGACUGCGCCAAAAG